Molecule: ribosomal RNA, 488 nt
Filed under: uncultured bacterium
Lineage: Bacteria
Description: partial 16S ribosomal RNA
Rfam family: Bacterial small subunit ribosomal RNA
Source: RNAcentral
GACGAACGCUGGCGGCGUGCUUAACACAUGCAAGUCGAACGAAAAUACCAAGCUUGCUUGGUUGAUUAGUGGCGAACGGGUGAGUAACACGUGAGUAACCUGCCCCUUACUUUCCUGGAUAACUGCUCGAAAGGGUAGCUAAUACGGGAUAUUCUGACCAGCCUGCAUGGGUUGGUUUGGAAAGGUUGUUUUUCUGGUAAGGGAUGGGCUCGCGGCCUAUCAGCUUGUUGGUGGGGUGAUGGCCUACCAAGGCUUUGACGGGUAGCCGGCCUGAGAGGGUGGACGGUCACACUGGGACUGAGAUACGGCCCAGACUCCUACGGGAGGCAGCAGUGGGGAAUAUUGCACAAUGGGCGCAAGCCUGAUGCAGCGACGCCGCGUGAGGGAUGAAGGCCUUCGGGGUGUAAACCUCUUUCGUCAGGGAACAAGGCACUGCUUUUUUGGUGGUGUUGAGGGUACCUGGAGAAGAAGCGCCGGCUAACUACGUG